UUUCAAAAAAACCCUAUUUUUUACAUAGCACCAAAUUAGAGCAUAACAUAUAAAUAAAUAGAAUUGGGCUGUAAUACUAUUAAUAGUAUUUGAACUCUUUCGCUAUUGAGUUUUUAACUUUUUGAUGAACUCUUUACCAGAGCACUAAUACUAUAGUAUCGUUUUCGAUCUUAGCUAGGAUGUUCAAAUCAACGAUCUACACAGUUAAAUAUGAUUUAGGGUAUAUGAAGUUCUUAGGAAUAAAAUUUUAAAAUUUUUUGACAUCGUUUACUUAGUAAGUAAUUCAUGUCAAAAUGAACGGUAGAAAUUGAACAAUUUUUAAAAUUUGAGCAUAGUACUUUUGAAUUCACAAUCAAGGAUGUUGACAUUAAUCUAGAUAGUUUAAAGUAUUUUCUAUCAAAGUUUGGAUAAAUUUAGAUUUUUCUAGACCGUUAAACUACAAAUUCGCCGUAGUAGCCAUUGAAAUUUGACAAUUUUGAAACGUUUGAUCAUAAAAUAAACUAUAUCAAAAAGAUAUUAAAUUUUAUUUCUAAAAACUAUAAAUAUAUUAAUCAGUUUUAACGGUAUGGAUCGUUGAUUUAAACAUUUUAAGAUUGAAACAAUACUCCAGUAAAGAUAGUAUAGGAGUCUAUAUACAUAUAUAUAGGGUUAAAUGCUUUCAUGUUCCUGUAAAUAUAGUGAAUUGUAAAUAUGCCUCUACCAAAUUCAAAUACUCUAGAUCAUAUUUAACGGAGUGGAUCGUCGAUUCGGAAGCUCCAUCAUCAAAAAUAACUUAUGAGUACGAAGGGCCCAAUACUCAUAAUAGUAUAGUAGCCUUACUCUAUAUAUAU
RNAcentral lists this long non-coding RNA (830 nucleotides) under Ananas comosus (pineapple). Its description in RNAcentral is "long non-coding RNA (ACOM_LNC027235)". The record is from RNAcentral. Lineage: Eukaryota; Viridiplantae; Streptophyta; Magnoliopsida; Poales; Bromeliaceae.